RNAcentral lists this ribosomal RNA (522 nucleotides) under uncultured bacterium. RNAcentral's name for it is "bacterial SSU rRNA". It matches the Rfam family "Bacterial small subunit ribosomal RNA", at positions 355 to 896 of the family's 1533-position model. The record is from RNAcentral.
UGGGGAAUAUUGCACAAUGGGCGAAAGCCUGAUGCAGCAACGCCGCGUGAAUGAUGAAGGUCUUCGGAUCGUAAAGUUCUGUUGCAGGGGAAGAUAAUGACGGUACCCUGUGAGGAAGCCCCGGCUAACUACGUGCCAGCAGCCGCGGUAAUACGUAGGGGGCUAGCGUUAUCCGGAUUUACUGGGCGUAAAGGGUGCGUAGGUGGUCCUUCAAGUCGGUGGUUAAAGGCCACGGCUCAACCGUAGUAAGCCGCCGAAACUGGAGGACUUGAGUGCAGGAGAGGAAAGUGGAAUUCCCAGUGUAGCGGUGAAAUGCGUAGAUAUUGGGAGGAACACCAGUAGCGAAGGCGGCUUUCUGGACUGCAACUGACACUGAGGCACGAAAGCGUGGGUAGCAAACAGGAUUAGAUACCCUGGUAGUCCACGCUGUAAACGAUGAGUACUAGGUGUCGGGGGUUACCCCCCUCGGUGCCGCAGCUAACGCAUUAAGUACUCCGCCUGGGGAGUACGCACGCAAGUGUG